This 797-nucleotide long non-coding RNA is filed under the name Homo sapiens (human). RNAcentral describes it as "HSALNT0339296". The record is from RNAcentral. Lineage: Eukaryota; Metazoa; Chordata; Mammalia; Primates; Hominidae.
CUACCAUGAUUGUGAGGCCUCCCCAGUUAUGUGGAACUCAAAGCUAGAGGAAACCAAAGUCAUAGAACAUCUGAACUCUGUCCAAACAUCGGUCGUAUUUCAAAAUUUCAGAGCCUCAGACUUCCAUGAUAAUAUCUGCCUAGUCUUUAGAAGAGUGUAUGGAAGUGUUCAAGAACCUUUCCUGAAACAACUUCUAUUACAGACACUGCUUCUUCAUGGUUAUUCCAUCAGAUUGCAAUCACUUAUAUGUUUUUUUCCACUCUUCCUUAUAUUAUGAGCACUUUUCACGUAGGGGUUCAUCUCUUUAAUAAUCAUAGCUCCCAACACAAUUGUAGGCUUAUAUUAGAUGCUCGAUAAAGAUGAGUUGAGUUAACAUGUAAAGUAAUGAAUGAGUAAGGAAAAAUAGAAUAGUUUCGAAUUAAUGCAUGUUACUGCUACUGUAAAUUUAAUGUUUUCAUUUCUAUUACUAUUUAUAUAUAAAUUUAAUUAAUUGUUAACUUUCUUUGCCAUCCAUACAUCUAUUUAUCUGCUCAUUUGAAAAUCUCUUUCCUGUUUCCUAUUAUUCAAAAUAUUAAAAGCAAAUAUUACUUAAAUAUUUAAAUCACUCUUUUUCCAUGUUAAGUUUCUCAGGAUGCAGAAUGUUGCUGUACACUGAGAAAUAUUAGGCGAUACAAAAUGGCUACUAUAACGUAAUGUUCUAGAAAAUGAUAAAAGUCAAACCCAUUGGUUUUUGCUGCCAACACAAGUUUGUCAAUGUAAUUAAUGCCCUUUAGCCUGGGAGGGUUGUAUGACAGGAA